Molecule: ribosomal RNA, 488 nt
Filed under: uncultured bacterium
Lineage: Bacteria
Description: bacterial SSU rRNA
Rfam family: Bacterial small subunit ribosomal RNA
Source: RNAcentral
GAUGAACGCUAGCUACAGGCUUAACACAUGCAAGUCGAGGGGCAGCACAGAGAUAGCUUGCUAUCUUGGGUGGCGACCGGCGCACGGGUGAGUAACGCGUAUCCAACCUGCCCAUUACUCAGGGAUAGCCUUGCGAAAGUAAGAUUAAUACCUGAUGUUGUUUGAUUGCCGCAUGACGAUCAAACCAAAGAUUUAUUGGUAAUGGAUGGGGAUGCGUGACAUUAGGUAGUUGGUGAGGUAACGGCUCACCAAGCCCACGAUGUCUAGGGGUUCUGAGAGGAAGGUCCCCCACACUGGAACUGAGACACGGUCCAGACUCCUACGGGAGGCAGCAGUGAGGAAUAUUGGUCAAUGGUCGGAAGACUGAACCAGCCAAGUAGCGUGAAGGAUGAAGGUUCUAUGGAUUGUAAACUUCUUUAUACGGGAAUAAAACCUCCACGUGUGGGAGCUUGUAUGUACCGUAUGAAUAAGCAUCGGCUAACUCCGUG